RNAcentral lists this ribosomal RNA (270 nucleotides) under uncultured prokaryote. Its description in RNAcentral is "partial 16S ribosomal RNA". It matches the Rfam family "Bacterial small subunit ribosomal RNA", at positions 524 to 794 of the family's 1533-position model. The record is from RNAcentral.
UACGUAGGGGACGAGCGUUGUCCGGAAUUACUGGGCGUAAAGGGCGCGCAGGCUGCGUUACAAGUCAGCUGUUAAAUGCAUGGGAUUACCCCAUGAGUGCGAUUGAAACUGUAGUGCUAGAGUACUGUAGAGGCAAGCGGAAUUCCCAGUGUAGCGGUGAAAUGCGUAGAUAUUGGGAGGAACACCGGUGGCGUAGGCGGCUUGCUGGACAGUAACUGACGCUGAGGCGCGAAAGCCAGGGGAGCAAACGGGAUUAGAUACCCCCGUAGU